This 497-nucleotide ribosomal RNA is filed under the name uncultured bacterium. RNAcentral's name for it is "partial 16S ribosomal RNA". It matches the Rfam family "Bacterial small subunit ribosomal RNA", at positions 28 to 507 of the family's 1533-position model. The record is from RNAcentral.
GACGAACGCUGGCGGCGUGCCUAAUACAUGCAAGUUGAGCGAUGAAGAUUGGUGCUUGCACCAAUUUGAAGAGCAGCGAACGGGUGAGUAACGCGUGGGGAAUCUGCCUUUGAGCGGGGGACAACAUUUGGAAACGAAUGCUAAUACCGCAUAAUAACUUUAAACAUAAGUUUUAAGUUUGAAAGAUGCAAUUGCAUCACUCAAAGAUGAUCCCGCGUUGUAUUAGCUAGUUGGUGAGGUAAAGGCUCACCAAGGCGAUGAUACAUAGCCGACCUGAGAGGGUGAUCGGCCACAUUGGGACGGGGACACGGCCCAAACUCCUACGGGAGGCAGCAGUAGGGGAUCUUCGGCGAUGGACGAAAGUCUGACCGAGCAACGCCGCGUGAGUGAAGAAGGUUUUCGGAUCGUAAAACUCUGUUGGUAGAGAAGAACGUUGGUGAGAGUGGAAAGCUCAUCAAGUGACGGUAACUACCCAGAAAGGGACGGCUAACUACGUG